AUAACGAUUCGCAAUAGAAAAAAAAGGUCCCGAACAGGUGCUGCAUCGCCCCCACCGCAUCGCCUCGAUUGGCACCGGCGUAGGCCACCCCGCCGCUCGACCUCGCCUCGCACUGGAGGCGACCAACACCAUCCUCCUCGCUCCCUCCCCUCCCCCAACCCGAUAUAGAUGCCUAACCCGCGGGAACGGGCAGGCGGCCGGCAGGCGAUGCGAGGCGCGGUGGCGGCGCGAGGAAGACAGGUAGAUCCUGGCGUGGCGUCGACCGAUUUGGCGGCUUGUUCCGGUGCCAGUGGCGUCCUGCUCAUCCAGAUAAGGAAAGAGAAGGGCCCGAGGGAGAGAGGAAACAGAGGAAGAAAGGAGAAGGAGAAGGGGCACACGCAGGGUGAGGGAGGCAGUCGCCGGUGAUGGUGGCUCCACUGACUGGCCGACGGGCUUGCUAGGCAAGGCUAAGGAGUACGCUAGCCUGAGAUUCGAUAGAGAGGGAAGAAGUUGUGGUGGUGGCGAAUUAUGCAACCAAUGUCUCUCACGACCGUCGGCCCCUGCUCGUGACAUCUCUACUGGAGCCGCCUCUGCCUACUCUGGUGUGUUGCAGCUCCUUACUCUAGCCACGUGUUGCUUGCUCUCCCACUAGCCUCUGCCUCCUGUGGUCUCGAAGUUGAUGACACCCUGAUGCAAAGCUCCCACAAUCAUCCGCUCCAUCUCAGCAAAAAACAUGUCCAGCUGCAGAAAAGGAGUUUGUAUCCAGCUUGACCUCCAUAGCAGGAAGAUUUUAGUAAUCGUUCUAUCAAUGUUCUAUUAAUGGAGAGAGGGGGAGAGCAAUGGAAAUAACACCCCGUCGUGGUCCUAGUGCUUCUCUCCGUGGGUUCGCUUGCUCACCUCGGCAUUUGCGGCUUCUACAGGUACGUACUAGACAACUACCCAUUGUUUUUGUUUUCUACUGACAAUUUGAUCGCUUCAUCAAUCCUUCUAGAGGGUCUUGACAGGAAGGACUGAGCAGCCACUGUGCUGGAGUAGAUUGUGUGACAGGUUUUUUCCUCUCUAUCCUACCCGUGAUUGGUUUCUUUGGUGAAGAAAGCAUCACUAUCUUUCAAUACAUCAUGGAUGAUCAACAUGUAUGUCUUCAUGGUACAAGAAUGAAGAUUAACUGUUCAAUCUAUUGAUUCAGAGUGAGACAAGGGUGAAACAGAAUAAGCUCAUUUUUGUGAUUUAUACAUGGUGGAAUUCCAGAAUAGAGGGUUGACUCAUACUCAUACUUCAAUUCGGCUUAUAGGGAACAAUCAUGAACCUUCGGCCUCCUUCAUAGAUGGUUUGAUUUCAGCUGAGAUACCUGAACCUUUGGUUGAGCCCUGGGUUAUGCUCUUAUGGAUUAAUUUAUGGUUCACGGUCCAUGUGGAGAAUACAAAGUAAAGUGUGCAUGUAUGAAAGAUGGAUUGUGUUCCAAAAGAUUUCCCAAAGAUUUUAAUGAGCAGACAUCACUUGAUGAUAGAGGCUUUCCUAUAUAUCAUAUAUCAUAGACAUGAUUUGGGUUACUAUGUGAGGAACAAGGGUACUGUUAAGCUGGAUAAUCGAUGGGUAGUGGCGCACUGCUUACAACUUCUUAAAAGAUUCUAAGUGCACAUUAAUGUUGAGUGGUGCAACAAGACAAAUUUGCUCAAAUAUUUGUUCCAGUAUCUCACUAAGGGCCAUGAUGUUGCUCGCAUAAGGUUUCAACCUAUGGUCGAAUGUUGAGCAUUUGUUGCCCUUGGUGUGGCAACUAGAAGAAAUGAAAUUUUAAAAUUUGUUGAGUGCAGAUAUCUUUCUGCUUGCGAAGCAUACUGCCAUAUGUUUGCUUUCAAUAUACAUGGUCGUGAGCCUGCAGUGGAGAGAUUGGUUGUGCACCUUCCUCGAGUCUUCAUAAGGAGUUACCUUGGAACCAGGAAAGUUGCUUUAAUUUUUGUUGAGAAGACGACGAAAAAUAAUGGAUACAAUUAUGGAGUAAAUAAAUUACUUUGGCUGAACAACCUACAACAAACUGACCCAUUCUUGUCAUACUACUAUCUUCUGUCAUUUUCAUGGUAUUUUCUAGCUCUUAGUCUGCAAGUGUUGCCAACUCUAAUGACUCACGACGCAGACUCGCAUAUUGCAUGAUCACAUCUUAGCUUUCUUGGUAAUUCUGCACUUCGAAGGAAGUUUGUUUCUUUUCGGGAAACCAAGGUAGUUUAUUUUGAUCCAAAUCCAAUAAUAAAAUUUGAUCAAUUCCUGUAUAAUCUAUGGAAGUUGCAUAUAUUUGUCAGGAUUAAUCAGCUUGAUUGAUAAGUUAUAUUUUUCAUUUUGCAGUCUGUAUCUGGUGAAACUUUAUAGGCCAGUUACACAUACAUAUAGAAAUAAUGUCAUUUUCCUUUAAAAAAGAUUAGCGUUGCAUGUUCAUAAUAGCAUUGGCCAAUAUUUUUUCACUGAAUAUAAUCUAAGAUGAGACAGAAGCAGAUGGACUACAAGCUAUAACUGA
Long non-coding RNA from Triticum urartu, 2485 nucleotides. RefSeq lists it as uncharacterized. Lineage: Eukaryota; Viridiplantae; Streptophyta; Magnoliopsida; Poales; Poaceae. The record is from RefSeq and is a predicted model, not a curated record.